RNAcentral lists this ribosomal RNA (653 nucleotides) under Cellulomonas sp. DJM1F4. RNAcentral's name for it is "bacterial SSU rRNA". It matches the Rfam family "Bacterial small subunit ribosomal RNA", at positions 834 to 1487 of the family's 1533-position model. Lineage: Bacteria; Bacillati; Actinomycetota; Actinomycetes; Micrococcales; Cellulomonadaceae. The record is from RNAcentral.
CCGAGUUCCGUGCCGCAGCAAACGCAUUAAGUGCCCCGCCUGGGGAGUACGGCCGCAAGGCUAAAACUCAAAGAAAUUGACGGGGGCCCGCACAAGCGGCGGAGCAUGCGGAUUAAUUCGAUGCAACGCGAAGAACCUUACCAAGGCUUGACAUACACCGGAAACUUCCAGAGAUGGUUGCCCCGCAAGGUCGGUGUACAGGUGGUGCAUGGUUGUCGUCAGCUCGUGUCGUGAGAUGUUGGGUUAAGUCCCGCAACGAGCGCAACCCUCGUCCUAUGUUGCCAGCGGGUUAUGCCGGGGACUCAUAGGAGACUGCCGGGGUCAACUCGGAGGAAGGUGGGGAUGACGUCAAAUCAUCAUGCCCCUUAUGUCUUGGGCUUCACGCAUGCUACAAUGGCCGGUACAAAGGGCUGCGAUACCGCGAGGUGGAGCGAAUCCCAAAAAGCCGGUCUCAGUUCGGAUUGGGGUCUGCAACUCGACCCCAUGAAGUCGGAGUCGCUAGUAAUCGCAGAUCAGCAACGCUGCGGUGAAUACGUUCCCGGGCCUUGUACACACCGCCCGUCAAGUCACGAAAGUCGGUAACACCCGAAGCCGGUGGCCCAACCCUUGUGGGGGGAGCCGUCGAAGGUGGGACUGGCGAUUGGGACUAAGUC